RNAcentral lists this ribosomal RNA (468 nucleotides) under uncultured bacterium. RNAcentral describes it as "partial 16S ribosomal RNA". It matches the Rfam family "Bacterial small subunit ribosomal RNA", at positions 28 to 507 of the family's 1533-position model. The record is from RNAcentral.
GACGAACGCUGGCGGCGUGCUUAACACAUGCAAGUCGAACGGAAAGGCCCUGCUUUUGUGGGGUGCUCGAUUGGCGAACGGGUGAGUAACACGUGAGUAACCUCCCCUUGACUUUGGGAUAACUUCAGGAAACUGGGGCUAAUACCGGAUAGGAGCUCCUGCUGCAUGGUGGGGGUUGGAAAGUUUCGGCGGUUGGGGAUGGACUCGCGGCUUAUCAGCUUGUUGGUGGGGUAGUGGCUUACCAAGGCUUUGACGGGUAGCCGGCCUGAGAGGGUGACCGGCCACAUUGGGACUGAGAUACGGCCCAGACUCCUACGGGAGGCAGCAGUGGGGAAUAUUGCACAAUGGGCGGAAGCCUGAUGCAGCAACGCCGCGUGCGGGAUGACAGCCUUCGGGUUGUAAACCGCUUUCGCCUGUGACGAAGCGUGAGUGACGGUAAUGGGUAAAGAAGCACCGGCUAACUACGUG